AGUGAACGCUGGCGGUAGGCCUAACACAUGCAAGUCGAACGGCAGCACAGUAAGAGCUUGCUCUUACGGGUGGCGAGUGGCGGACGGGUGAGGAAUACAUCGGAAUCUACUUUUUCGUGGGGGAUAACGUAGGGAAACUUACGCUAAUACCGCAUACGACCUACGGGUGAAAGCAGGGGAUCUUCGGACCUUGCGCGAUUGAAUGAGCCGGUGUCGUAUUAGCUAGUUGGCGGGGUAAAGGCCCACCAAGGCGACGAUCCGUAGCUGGUCUGAGAGGAUGUGCAGCCACACUGGAACUGGGACACGGUCCAGACUCCUACGGGAGGCAGCAGUGGGGAAUAUUGGACAAUGGGCGCAAGCCUGAUCCAGCCAUACCGCGUGGGUGAAGAAGGCCUUCGGGUUGUAAAGCCCUUUUGUUGGGAAAGAAAAGCAGCAGGUUAAUACCCCGCUGUUCUGACGGUACCCAAAGAAUAAGCACCGGCUAACUUCGUG
This 492-nucleotide ribosomal RNA is filed under the name uncultured bacterium. Its description in RNAcentral is "partial 16S ribosomal RNA". It matches the Rfam family "Bacterial small subunit ribosomal RNA", at positions 29 to 507 of the family's 1533-position model. The record is from RNAcentral.